Molecule: long non-coding RNA, 299 nt
Filed under: Citrus maxima (pomelo)
Lineage: Eukaryota; Viridiplantae; Streptophyta; Magnoliopsida; Sapindales; Rutaceae
Description: long non-coding RNA (CMAX_LNC001348)
Source: RNAcentral
AUUUAUCCUCAUUUUCCCUUUGGUAUCAAAGCUGAUUAAAUCAAUUACACACUAGUGAACUUUAUUGUGAAUUUGAUUAAUUGUAUGUGGUCAACAUGUUAAUCUGUAUUUUUUUGGUUAAUCUAUUUUUCAGGUGAUGUUGGUGGCUUUCGGGAAUUUAAUAUCAGUGUUUUUUUAUGGAUUAAUUGUUUUUCUAGUGAUAGGCUGAUGAUUGGAUAUUGCAAAGGAUUUGUGAGAUAUGUUACACGAUGUAUUUUGAUGAUGCUAUUUGUUGGAAGUUUCAAGUGAUUGAAAAUUUU